Molecule: ribosomal RNA, 696 nt
Filed under: Triticum aestivum (bread wheat)
Lineage: Eukaryota; Viridiplantae; Streptophyta; Magnoliopsida; Poales; Poaceae
Description: partial small subunit ribosomal RNA
Source: RNAcentral
GUCAGAAUAGUUUCCAGCCUUGCUGAUGUUGACGCUGCGCUUCAAGAUUUGGGCAUCACUGAGGUGAAUCAAGCUAAUCAGGUUCGAUUUCAACUGGAUGAGCGAGCCCCCCUUCAAGAUGCAGCAGAGAUCGGUGUAAGGACCCGUCCAGGAAGGCAUGGAUUCAUACUUGUUAAUCCAGAGUUGUUGGAGUGCAAGUCUAAGACCAAGGGGGCAUUAGAGAGGUCCUUCAACAUCAUGAUUAACGAAGCCCUGGAGCGGAUUGAUCAAGAGAUGUUGGGAGUUGACGCAAGCAUCUCAGAACUGAAGGUCCUUGUGCUCAAGAAUGACAAUCAGAUGCCACAUAAUGGACCUCCACUUGUCAAAAGAAAUCGGGGAGUACAACAUGUCAUCUAUCCACACCCUCCUUUCCCAGAAGAUCCUAGCUUUGAGCAUGGCACACCCCGAGAGAGAGUCCCAUAUCAACCUGCUUAUGGUACACAACAAGAGAGGGAUGAGGCAGCUGCUCGUGACAGGCGUGCCCAGAGGGCCCUCUGGCAUGCCAAACUCUGUAUUUUGGAGGCGAGGCAGUCCAUCUUGAAGGACAAGAGGUCUGAGAUGAUGUCAAAGAUGAGGGUGGAGUUCAACAGGAUUAUGGAGGAACCAUCUGACUUAGGGGCUGGUUACGCGGCCUAUGAAUUUCCUCCAUUGGCGUAG